GAGCGCUAGAUGGGUUUCCGGAGACCGG
This 28-nucleotide small RNA is filed under the name Bombyx mori (domestic silkworm). Its description in RNAcentral is "ovarian small RNA-15826". Lineage: Eukaryota; Metazoa; Arthropoda; Insecta; Lepidoptera; Bombycidae. The record is from RNAcentral.